This 83-nucleotide transfer RNA is filed under the name Oryctolagus cuniculus (rabbit). It matches the Rfam family "tRNA". From Rfam's summary of the family: Transfer RNA (tRNA) molecules are approximately 80 nucleotides in length. Their secondary structure includes four short double-helical elements and three loops (D, anti-codon, and T loops). The record is from Rfam by way of RNAcentral. Lineage: Eukaryota; Metazoa; Chordata; Mammalia; Lagomorpha; Leporidae.
GGUGCUGUGGCAUAGUGGGUAAAAGCUGCCUCCUGCAGUGCUGGCAUCCCAUGUGGCCGCUGGUUCGAAUCCCGCCGGCUCCA